RNAcentral lists this ribosomal RNA (492 nucleotides) under uncultured bacterium. RNAcentral's name for it is "partial 16S ribosomal RNA". It matches the Rfam family "Bacterial small subunit ribosomal RNA", at positions 29 to 507 of the family's 1533-position model. The record is from RNAcentral.
AGUGAACGCUGGCGGUAGGCCUAACACAUGCAAGUCGAACGGCAGCACAGUAAGAGCUUGCUCUUACGGGUGGCGAGUGGCGGACGGGUGAGGAAUACAUCGGAAUCUACUUUUUCGUGGGGGAUAACGUAGGGAAACUUACGCUAAUACCGCAUACGACCUACGGGUGAAAGCAGGGGAUCUUCGGACCUUGCGCGAUUGAAUGAGCCGAUGUCGGAUUAGCUAGUUGGCGGGGUAAAGGCCCACCAAGGCGACGAUCCGUAGCUGGUCUGAGAGGAUGAUCAGCCACACUGGAACUGAGACACCGUCCAGACUCCUACGGGAGGCAGCAGUGGGGAAUGUUGGACAAUGGGCGCAAGCCUGAUCCAGCCAUACCGCGUGGGUGAAGGAGGCCUUCCGGUUGUAAAGCCCUUUUGUUGGGAAAGAAAAGCAGCAGGUUAAUACCCCGCUGUUCUGACGGUACCCAAAGAAUAAGCACCGGCUAACUUCGUG